This 289-nucleotide ribosomal RNA is filed under the name uncultured Paracoccaceae bacterium. RNAcentral describes it as "uncultured Rhodobacteraceae bacterium partial 16S ribosomal RNA". The record is from RNAcentral. Lineage: Bacteria; Pseudomonadati; Pseudomonadota; Alphaproteobacteria; Rhodobacterales; Paracoccaceae.
CUACUCGGGUAUCUAAUCCUGUUUGCUCCCCACGCUUUCGCACCUCAGCGUCAGUAUCGAGCCAGUGAGCCGCCUUCGCCACUGGUGUUCCUCCGAAUAUCUACGAAUUUCACCUCUACACUCGGAAUUCCACUCACCUCUCUCGAACUCUAGACUACCAGUAUCGGAGGCAGUUCCGGGGUUGAGCCCCGGGAUUUCACCCUCGACUUAAUAGUCCGCCUACGCGCGCUUUACGCCCAGUAAUUCCGAACAACGCUAACCCCCUCCGUAUUACCGCGGCUGCUGGCAC